GUGAGGAAUAUUGGUCAAUGGGCGAGAGCCUGAACCAGCCAAGUCGCGUGAAGGAAGAAGGAUCUAUGGUUCGUAAACUUCUUUUGCAGGGGAAUAAAGUGCGGGACGUGUCCUGUUUUGUAUGUACCCUGAGAAUAAGGAUCGGCUAACUCCGUGCCAGCAGCCGCGGUAAUACGGAGGAUCCGAGCGUUAUCCGGAUUUAUUGGGUUUAAUGGGUGCGUAGGUGGUUUGAUAAGUCAGCGGUGAAAGUUUGCAGCUUAACUGUAAAAAUGCCGUUGAAACUGUCAGACUUGAGUGUAAAUGAGGUAGGCGGAAUGCGUGGUGUAGCGGUGAAAUGCAUAGAUAUCACGCAGAACUCCGAUUGCGAAGGCAGCUUACUAAGCUACAACUGACACUGAAGCACGAAAGCGUGGGGAUCAAACAGGAUUAGAAACCCCGGUAGUCC
This 445-nucleotide ribosomal RNA is filed under the name uncultured bacterium. RNAcentral describes it as "partial 16S ribosomal RNA". It matches the Rfam family "Bacterial small subunit ribosomal RNA", at positions 354 to 796 of the family's 1533-position model. The record is from RNAcentral.